This 496-nucleotide ribosomal RNA is filed under the name uncultured bacterium. RNAcentral's name for it is "partial 16S ribosomal RNA". It matches the Rfam family "Bacterial small subunit ribosomal RNA", at positions 28 to 506 of the family's 1533-position model. The record is from RNAcentral.
GAUGAACGCUGGCGGCGUGCCUAAUACAUGCAAGUCGAGCGAACGGACGAGAAGCUUGCUUCUCUGAUGUUAGCGGCGGACGGGUGAGUAACACGUGGAUAACCUACCUAUAAGACUGGGAUAACUUCGGGAAACCGGAGCUAAUACCGGAUGAUAUUUUGAACCGCAUGGUUCAAAAGUGAAAGACGGUCUUGCUGUCACUUAUAGAUGGAUCCGCGCUGCAUUAGCUAGUUGGUAAGGUAACGGCUUACCAAGGCAACGAUGCAUAGCCGACCUGAGGGGGUGAUCGGCCACACUGGAGCUGAGACACGGUCCAGACUCCUACGGGAGGCAGCAGUAGGGAAGCUUCCGCAAUGGGCGAAAGCCUGACGGAGCAACGCCGCGUGAGUGAUGAAGGUCUUCGGAUCGUAAAACUCUGUUAUUAGGGAAGAACAUAUGUGUAAGUAACUGUGCACAUCUUGACGGUACCGAAUCAGAAAGCCACGGCGAACUACGG